Molecule: ribosomal RNA, 433 nt
Filed under: uncultured bacterium
Lineage: Bacteria
Description: partial 16S ribosomal RNA
Rfam family: Bacterial small subunit ribosomal RNA
Source: RNAcentral
AGCGAACGCUGGCGGCAGGCCUAACACAUGCAAGUCGAACGAACUCUUCGGAGUUAGUUGCGGACGGGUGAGUAACACGUGGGAACGUGCCUGUAGGUUCGGAAAAACACAGGGAAACUUGAGCUAAUACCGGGUGUGCCCUUCGGGGGAAAGAUUUAUCGCCUUUAGAGCGGCCCGCGUCUGAUUAGCUAGUUGGUGAGGUAAAGGCUCACCAAGGCGACGAUCAGUAGCUGGUCUGAGAGGAUGAUCAGCCACAUUGGGACUGGGACACGGCCCAAACUCCUACGGGAGGCAGCAGUGGGGAAUCUUGCGCAAUGGGCGAAAGCCUGACGCAGCCAUGCCGCGUGAAUGAUGAAGGUCUUAGGAUUGUAAAAUUCUUUAACCGGGGACGAUAAUGACGGUACCCGGAGAAGAAGCCCCGGCUAACUUCGUG